Oncorhynchus tshawytscha (Chinook salmon) is the source of this 636-nucleotide long non-coding RNA. Lineage: Eukaryota; Metazoa; Chordata; Actinopteri; Salmoniformes; Salmonidae. The record is from Ensembl.
UGGUCUGGUGCUGUCUGCUAUGGUCUGUCUGGUCUGGUGCUGUCUGCUAUGGUCUGUCUGGCCAGGUACUGUCUGCUAUGGUCUGUCUGGUCUGGUGCUUUCUGCUAUGGUCUGUCUGGCCAGGUGCUCUCUGGUCUGGUGCUGUCUGCUAUGGUCUGUCUGGUCUGGUGCUGUCUGCUAUGGUCUGUCUGGUCUGGUGCUGUCUGCUAUGGUCUGUCUGGUCUGGUGCUGUCUGCUAUGGUCUGUCUGGCCAGGUGCUGUCUUGUCUGGUGCUGUCUGCUAUGGUCUGUCUGGUCUGGUGCUGUCUGCUAUGGUCUGUCUGGCCAGGUGCUGUCUGCUAUGGUCUGUCUGGUCUGGUACUGUCUGCUAUGGUAUGUCUGGUCUGGUGCUGUCUGCUAUGGUCUGUCUGGUCUGGUGCUGUCUGCUAUGGUCUGUCUAGUCUGGUGCUGUCUGCUAUUGUCUGCCUGGCUUGUUGCUGUCUGCUAUGGUCUGUCUGGUCUGGUGCUGUCUGCUAUGGUCUGUCUGGUCUGGUGCUGUCUGCUAUGGUCUGGGUCUGUCUGCUAUUGUCUGUCUGGUCUCGUGCUGUCUGCUAUGGUCUGUCUGGUCUGGUGCUGUCUGCUAUGGUCUGUCUGGCCA